RNAcentral lists this long non-coding RNA (1875 nucleotides) under Lynx pardinus (Iberian lynx). Lineage: Eukaryota; Metazoa; Chordata; Mammalia; Carnivora; Felidae. The record is from RNAcentral.
GGGGGGGAAGGGGGCCUCCCACUUGUGUUGCACUGCUGGCUGGCAAAUCCACGCACUCCCUGGGACCCUGGCUUCAACCCCCCGCCGUGGCCCUGGGCAGGCACUGAGCAUUAGGAGGUGUGGAAAGCGAACAGACAAAGCGGGGGGUGAGAACACGGGGCUGGCUCGUCAGCGGCCUUCCCCUGGAUCUGUGUCGCUUCGUUGGCGGGCUGCAGGUGUCCAUUCUGGUCUCCCCAGGCUCCUCCAGCUACUUUGCACGCUGUCCCCUUCUUGUUUCCGGUCCCUCACCUGACACCCGGUCGUGCCUGGCCUGGGCCCCACGGGCGCCGUUGUGCACGCUGGGGCCUGGAACCUGCCCGAGAGGGGUACCCUGGCACUUCUCUGUGUAGACGCAAAGCGGAGCUAAAACUAAAGAGUUUCCUGAGCCGGUGAGAAUGAGGCAGUUCCUCCCGGGCCCCUGAAGGAAGCAGAAGUCAUUACCUUUUGGGUCUCGUCCGCCGAUCUUUGAUCGCGUGUGCUGAGGUCUUCGGGCGUGAAGAACGCGUCUCUCCCCGCGAGGUUCCUGUCCCUGCUGGAGCCUCGUUCAGCUGGCGGUCACAUCAGGCCAGGCGUGUGCCUGCGGCCCACUGGGUAGUGGCCGGCGGUGACGGAGAUAGGACCAAACCCCACUAACGCCGGGCAGGCUGUGGGCGUGACCCCCAAGGUAAUGACUCCACCAACCGUGUCUCGCUUAGGUCCUGCUCAGUGAAGGUGAGCCCUUGAAGGCAACCAGGCACCCCCCGCCCCGCCCCCAGCAAACAAAACAUUCCUGGGUCCCGGCCAGGUGAAGGUGUUGGCCGUGGAGCCCAAGUCCGCAGGGUCCCAUGCUUCGUGGGCGCCUCUGGGUCGAGAUGUGCCAGGAAGGACUCCCAACAUCCCCCCCCCCAACCCCCGCGGGAGAAUUUUUUUUGUGGACGGUGAAGGACCCGAUCCUGUUGCAACAGGCUUGGGUGGGAAUAAGACCGGUGACCAGAACCGAUGGUUCGUUUUCCUUGACCCUUUAGAUGCUGGCGCGUGGCUCUGUCCGGAGCCUUUCUGUUGGGAGGGUCCUCUGACGGAGACGGGUGGCGGUGCCCCUCGGAUCUCUCUGUGUGCCGUUCCGGGGACAUUGACCCUUGGUGUUUGAGAGACGUUUCUAGUAGGAUCGCAGUGGUGGAAUGCAAAAGGUCUGGGCUCGCGGGUGCUGUAAUGGGGACGGUGUGACGUGGGGACAGAGAAGGAAAGCCUAUGGCGUCGGGGCAAGAGCACUGGACUGGCCCCACUCUGCUGCCUCAUUCGUCCCGUAACCCAAAGUCAAGUCACAUUCCCUUCCGAGACCUCUACUCCCCUGUCAAGCGGAGACGGGCCCUUUCUGGCAUCGCGCUCAGCAGACUGGCUCUUAGCAGCCACGUGGACCCAGGAACAGACAUAUAAAGGGACGCCAGCCAUCCUUGGUGACGAGGGGUCCCAAAUUGGCAUCUCUUCCCUUCCCUUCCCUUCGGAAGAGGAGAUGGGGGCCGGGGGCGGGGGCAGCCCUUUCACAGACGAGCACAUCAGCAAAGCCCGUGACAGUGGAAUUUUCUAACAAAAUAAACUUGCUUAUUUGGUCUGUUUUCUGUAACUUUUGCUAAAUACUUUAUACAUUUUUAAUGUUAAAAAGCUGCGUCUCCUGCCAGCAUUGCUCAUCCUGGUAUGAAUGUGUUUACCCCACAUUGUAUAUCCUUCCUUCCUCUGGCUGCCUAGAUCAGUAAAUAACAUCGAUGUACCAUAAUUUAUAAGUAACACUGUUGAAACUCUGAUCCCUAUGGAGGCUGUAACUCGCCCUUUCCUCCGGUCCCCCGGCUGCCCCCCGCCCCG